Molecule: ribosomal RNA, 584 nt
Filed under: uncultured fungus
Lineage: Eukaryota; Fungi
Description: eukaryotic LSU rRNA
Rfam family: Eukaryotic large subunit ribosomal RNA
Source: RNAcentral
AUAUCAAUAAGCGGAGGAAAAGAAACCAACAGGGAUUGCCCCAGUAACGGCGAGUGAAGCGGCAACAGCUCAAAUUUGAAAUCUGGCCCCUAGGGCCCGAGUUGUAAUUUGCAGAGGAUGCUUUUGGCGAGGUGCCUUCCGAGUUCCCUGGAACGGGACGCCAUAGAGGGUGAGAGCCCCGUCUGGUUGGAUGCCGAGCCUCUGUAAAGCUCCUUCGACGAGUCGAGUAGUUUGGGAAUGCUGCUCUAAAUGGGAGGUAUAUGUCUUCUAAAGCUAAAUACCGGCCAGAGACCGAUAGCGCACAAGUAGAGUGAUCGAAAGAUGAAAAGCACUUUGAAAAGAGGGUUAAAUAGUACGUGAAAUUGUUGAAAGGGAAGCACUUAUGACCAGACUUGGACCCGGUGAAUCAUCCAGCGUUCUCGCUGGUGCACUUUGCCGGGCUCAGGCCAGCAUCAGUUUGCCUCGGGGGAUAAAGGCUUUGGGAAUGUGGCUCCCUCGGGAGUGUUAUAGCCCAUUGCACAAUACCCUGGGGCGGACUGAGGUUCGCGCAUCUGCAAGGAUGCUGGCGUAAUGGUCAUCAGUGA